RNAcentral lists this long non-coding RNA (342 nucleotides) under Sus scrofa (pig). RNAcentral's name for it is "lncRNA (ENSSSCG00065065001.1)". The record is from RNAcentral. Lineage: Eukaryota; Metazoa; Chordata; Mammalia; Artiodactyla; Suidae.
CGGAAGUCCCGCUGUGCAGGGACCAGUGUUUGCUGCUGGACUGUCCUUGCUGACGGGAGACCAGCCCGUGGACUGGUGUGAACAGCCAGGAACGUGCUUCCCCGUUCAGGAGGGGUUGCCUCUGGUAGGAAGAGAAAGUCAGAAUAACCCGGUGUUUCUGGAAGAUCGCCCUCCCAAGGAAAUCCCCGCUCUUUGAAGUCAGGGUCCCUGAAACCAGCCGCCCCCCAAGACACCUCCCGGCGUGUCGAGGGUGCCAUCUUGUGGAAGGACGAGAAAGCGAGCACAGGGAAGCUGCCAGCAAGUGCUCUGGACAUUUUGCUGCCGGUGAUUUUAAUUAAGGAC